Molecule: long non-coding RNA, 4333 nt
Organism: Monopterus albus (swamp eel)
Lineage: Eukaryota; Metazoa; Chordata; Actinopteri; Synbranchiformes; Synbranchidae
Exons: 6
Source: RefSeq, a predicted model, not a curated record
GUAUUAAUAGAUGCAGCCCCAGGAAGACAAAAUCAGCUAUUGAUAAUUGCAAAGAGUAUAGGGUAGCUACUGUAUCGAUCGGCGUGUCCUCCACUCCCCUGGUACUGAGAGAUAAGGAGACAGUGUUCAGAGCAAUAUAAUUUCUUUUGACCUAUCUGUUUGCUACAGACUUAUGAUGAAUAGCCAGAGUGGCUGAAGUCCUUUAUCACCAAAGUUACCUCCUUGAUAUAAUAUUGAUUCUUUAUAACUAGCUCGCCACACAAAAAUCAAACUGUCCACUUGGCCAUCAUCAUCAUCAUUAUCAUCACAAAGGCGGAGGAAUGAAGAUCCCUGCGCCUCGAAAAGCGAGCCCUUACAAUCUCCUCUGUAGGCCUAAGCUUUAUUUUGCUGAUGAUGAAAGGAGAGGGGAAACGAGGCAAGGUGCCAUUUAAGACGAGGUGCCAUUUAAUCCGAGCUGGAGUCCCGUAGAGGCUAUUACAACGAGGCCACUCACCGACAGAGGGGAAAGCACUGCUGGUGGAAGAGGCGGGGGGAGGAAGCGGGAUGGAGGGAGGAAGCAGAGAGGGUGGGAGAGGAGGGAGAGGAGAAACGUGUAAUCACCCAAACAACCAUUUUUACCCAUUUCACCCCCUCUGUGUCGCAAGUGGCCAUGAGGUUAUCUGUCUUUCAGUGCGGAUAUGGUGAAGUGAGGGCGGACCGUGGGGAAGACACCAAGAGGAUCUGUUGGUAAAACCAUUCAGGAGGAAGCCACUCAAGUGUUUUUAGACACUGAGCAGAGCUACAGCAGCUGCUCGAUUGGAUGGCAUGAUAUACAGAGGAAGAGGAAGGUCACAUACCCAGAUGGAGAAGAAAUGACAUUCCAAAAACACAGUGAAGUACAGUUUGCACAUGAUUUCUGCUGUAUUACUGGGACGUCUGUUUCAACAAAAUGUGUUCACCAGACAACACUACAAUAAUGGUUAGACUUGGACAUGGGAUCCUGUAGUGGACAGCAGUAUGCCGGCAUGACAGAGGGUGAGCUCGUCUGUCUGUGUCGGCCUUGGUGCCACUGAGACCCCAGCAGGGUUGGGGGGAGCGGGGGCUCAGGGUGCCAGCACAAAUGAGCUCCAUUCAUUUCCCCACUUCGGCAUAUGGUGGCCUAUUGUCCUCGGCCACAGAGGCAGAAGUGAUGCAAUUUGUUGGCAUGUCCUGUCAUUUCACAAACUGCCCAUCCCACUGAGGCCUUGGCCAGCAGAAGACAAGCAAGGGCAGCUUGUUGUUUCACCCCAUCCACACAAAACAUGCAUGCAUUGUGUGUGUAUGUGCAUACUGAAGUUAAUCCAAAACUGGUAGCAGCAGAUCAUAUACUAAUAAACAUGAUAAAGACAUAUGCAGUCAAUUGGGCAGUCAGAAACAACAGGAUCAAUCAGAGUAAAGCUUACUGAAGAUUAUAGUAUACAGUAUCUGUGUCAAUCCCUGUUGUUUUCUGUUAUAACAAUAGCUUAUCUUUGUUUACAGGAUAAGAUUUAAUCUGAUCUAGGAAUUAAUAUAUGACAGGAUCCUUACUUGGUCCAUGGUAUGCAAAGACACCAGCCUUUGCAAAACAAUAUGCAAAAAAACAACAAAGCCCCUCAGUGAAAUUUAACUGAAAUCAAAGCCAGCAUAGAAAGACUGAACACUGAAACCGCAGGUUUAUUAGUGACAGUGAACUGGGCAGCUCACCCCUGGCUUGUUCCUGGUUUCACUAUGCUAAGGAUGAAGCUACUGUCUGACACGAGGGGAAGGAGUCUUGUUCAACUUCCUAAAAAUGCUAACUUUUGACAUGAAGUACACAUUAUAACCAAUGCAGCAGCAGAAAGAAAGAAAAAAGUGUCUAGACAUGACUGUAUUAAGGUCAGACAGGGGAAAGCAUAUGAUCACACAGUCAUGCACAAAACAUUGGUAGUAUAUGGUGCUGACAGGCGUUUGGAUGGCUGGGGGUCAAAUGUCACUGAACCCAUUUCAUACUAACAUUUGUGAGUCUGUGUGUGUGUACACAGUGCAUCCUCGCGUCACGGCGGGGCGUCACUCAAUACAGGCAGUGUUGGUUGGAGGUUUGGUUCUCAUUGUCUGCACAGUGGGCAACCACACCGGACGCAUUCUCAUGUGCACACUGACUCAGCGUGUGACAGGAACGUGGGCUCUCCACUGAGCUCCUGAGCAGAAAUCAACAGAGGGGAGCACCUUCAGACAGAAGUCAAGUUGACUUCAGCAGCUCUAAAGAUUGAUGAUGUUGGUCCUUGUUUCAGUGGGUCUAAGGAACAAGUGGCCCUCAGAGACUCAUUACACCUCAGCAAGAUUUGGAGAAUGGAGUGACACUGCUCCUGAUUCCCAGAUUCAUCAUUUGUAUUGGACUUGGUUGCUCUUUCACAAAUGUCAUCUGGAGAACUGUAUCAAAACUAGUGAUCUGGUUUCCUGUCCUGUACUGAAAAAAAAAAACAGUAAAAAAAGUAUAAAUAAACUGAGAGAGGAAAGAUUCUAGCAAAAUCAGGAUAACAUAAUGCACUUUUGUUUAUUUGUCACAUGUAAAACAUAAACAGUCAGAUAAUCCAUCUUUGUCUAAUACCCCAAUCAUACAUCCUUGACCUCAAUCCUGGCCACCACCUCCCCGUUUGUUCUUCCAGCCACCAUGAGAUUCCUCUCUGGCCCUACCCUUAACCCCAUUUGUACCCUCCACCCUCACCAGCCCCCUCAACCUGUCAGGGACCAGCUUCCCAUGUCCAUCACCGGGUGAUGGAUGAGGUGGAAGGUCGUCACCCCACUCUCCUGAGUUCACUGAUCCCAUCAGCCAUGCAGACACCUCCAAAUCAUAGUGGGGGGGGUGUUACUGAAAUCAUAUAUUUAGAGAGAGAAACCAAGAAAAACGGAGGGUGCUGCUUUGCAAAACUUACCUCUAGACAGAUGUGCCUUUGGCAUUAAGUCAUACUUCUAAAUUUCACCAGCUGCCAUGCUUUUCUAAUGCUUUUAAAAUAAAUAACCAUUCAUCAGUUUUUUAACUGUUUCUAUCAUGUUUUUUACAUAUAUAUUUUUGGGGGUUUGAAGUACUUGUUAAAUCUUAUCUGGUAUAGUUUUGAUAUCCUGGGUCCACGGUAGAAGGUUUAUAAUCUUGGUACAGCUUCUGUAGGGAGUAUACAAAGUGGCAAUUAACUAGAGUAAAUAAGUACAAGAUAGUUUGUAUGCUAGAAAUUUUCAGGUACAGUCUUAAGAUUUAUUGCAUUUUCCUAAUAACAACACUUCUUAUUAAAAAGAUAUCCAGCACUCAGUAGAAAAAUAGAAAUAAUUUGCCGCAAGUGAUUUUCUGUAAAACACAAUGAAAUUUGAUUGCACCCUGGUAUAAACCAGGGAAGUGUCUCACCCCUGACUGACCUUAAAUUGCCUCUUGCUGCCUAUGGCACUGUAGGAAAACAGCAGUCCUAUUGGCUCAUUUCACAUAUGUUCUACUAAACAAAGCUACAGGAUAUCUUUGGUGGUUCUGGUUGGAGGGAACCAGAGGAGCAGGCUCAGCUCAGACUUUGGACAAGCCUGUCCCCAGUUUUCCAGCAAGAGAGCACAUGGCAGCCAAAGGAAGUGCGAUUUCUCUCACUCAUAUCAUUCAGUCAGAAGGAGAGAUUGAUAUACUACAAAUAUACAAGAAAAAUAAACAAUACACAAUAGUGUCAGGCCCCACCACUGACAGGCGCAUAGAUCAAUGUUAUUUCCUGCUUUUGCAAAAAUACCUAAUUUCCCUUAUUUAAUCAAGCGUCUCCUUGCUCAUGCCCCACUGGCUGAUUUAUAACACCCACUGCCUUUAUGAGUACCUGUUUCAUUUUCUUGUCUCUGCUCUGACACCUAAAGUGAUAGGAAUUUUAUGCUUUUGAUAACAAUAUGAGUUUCACUUUGGCCCAGAAUUCAUGGCCCUGUCAAUGGCCGAUAAAUAACAGCAGCAAAGCAAAAAUAUUCACAUGCUUCGACAACAAAGCAUCUGCCCAAUGGGAUUUACCUUGGGAUGAAAGCACAGAGGAGAGAAUAAAAAAAAAGAGGGUAGUGCAGGAGGUGUUGCUAUCAAAAGAAGGAAGGAUCAUCGUUAAAGGUCAUGUCAAUGAGACUGGAAGUGUACGAUGUAUUCUGGCGUCAAGACUCAUACUCAAUAGCCUGUAAUAUAAGCAUUUAGAUAAUGUCACAUGAACAUAAAUGCCAUGCUGUGACACACUGUUCUUUGGCCAGCAUAAAUAUGUACAGCAGGGGAGCUCAAACAUUUUCAUGUCACAGACCCUCAAGUUAAAAACCAUUAGAGGUCAUGCUGCCCCAUAUUUGAUUUCAUUCCAAUGCCCCUGAA